This 468-nucleotide ribosomal RNA is filed under the name uncultured bacterium. RNAcentral's name for it is "partial 16S ribosomal RNA". It matches the Rfam family "Bacterial small subunit ribosomal RNA", at positions 28 to 507 of the family's 1533-position model. The record is from RNAcentral.
GACGAACGCUGGCGGCGUGCUUAACACAUGCAAGUCGAACGGAAAGGCCCUGCUUUUGUGGGGUGCUCGAGUGGCGAACGGGUGAGUAACACGUGAGUAACCUGCCCUUGACUUUGGGAUAACUUCAGGAAACUGGGGCUAAUACCGGAUAGGAGCUCCUGCUGCAUGGUGGGGGUUGGAAAGUUUCGGCGGUUGGGGAUGGACUCGCGGCUUAUCAGCUUGUUGGUGGGGUAGUGGCUUACCAAGGCUUUGACGGGUAGCCGGCCUGAGAGGGUGACCGGCCACAUUGGGACUGAGAUACGGCCCAGACUCCUACGGGAGGCAGCAGUGGGGAAUAUUGCACAAUGGGCGGAAGCCUGAUGCAGCAACGCCGCGUGCGGGAUGACGGCCUUCGGGUUGUAAACCGCUUUCGCCUGUGACGAAGCGUGAGUGACGGUAAUGGGUAGAGAAGCACCGGCUAACUUCGUG